GAACUAUCAUGUAUUCUAUUACCUCCUGGCAGGAGCAAGUGAAGAUGAGAGAUCAGCAUUCCAUCUUAAGCAACCAGAGGAAUAUCAUUAUCUCAAUCAGGAUUGCUUCACGGUGGAAGGGGAAGAUUUGAGACAUGACUUUGAGCGCCUACAACUUGCCAUGGAAAUGGUAGGAUUUCUUCCCAAGACACGAAGACAGAUUUUCUCUCUUCUCUCAGCCAUACUACAUUUGGGUAAUAUCUGUUACAAAAAGAAGACAUACCGGGAUGACUCCAUUGAUAUCUGUAAUCCUGAAGUUCUGCCUAUUGUCUCAGAAUUAUUAGAGGUUAAAGAAGAGAUGCUAUUUGAAGCAUUAGUUACAAGGAAGACGGUGACAGUGGGAGAAAAGCUUAUUCUGCCAUACAAGUUGGCAGAGGCUGUGACAGUGAGGAACUCCAUGGCUAAGUCUCUAUAUAGUGCCCUGUUUGACUGGAUAGUUUUUCGAAUUAAUCAUGCACUUCUGAAUAGUAAAGAUUUAGAGCAUAAUACCAAGACAUUGUCUAUUGGAGUUCUUGAUAUUUUUGGGUUUGAAGAUUAUGAAAAUAACAGCUUUGAACAGUUCUGUAUUAAUUUUGCUAAUGAACGUUUACAGCACUACUUUAAUCAGCAUAUCUUUAAAUUGGAACAAGAGGAAUAUAGAACUGAAGGUAUCAGCUGGCACAACAUAGAUUACAUUGAUAAUACCUGCUGCAUAAAUCUUAUUAGCAAAAAACCAACAGGACUGCUUCAUCUUUUGGAUGAAGAAAGCAACUUUCCACAGGCUACAAAUCAAACAUUGCUAGACAAGUUUAAGCAUCAACAUGAAGAUAAUUCUUACAUCGAAUUUCCAGCCGUGAUGGAGCCUGCUUUCAUUAUAAAACAUUAUGCUGGAAAAGUAAAAUAUGGGGUAAAGGAUUUCCGGGAAAAAAAUACAGAUCAUAUGCGCCCAGACAUUGUAGCUCUUCUGAGAAGCAGCAAGAAUGCAUUUAUUUCUGGGAUGAUUGGAAUUGAUCCUGUAGCUGUUUUCCGAUGGGCAAUUCUCCGAGCUUUUUUCAGAGCCAUGGUUGCUUUCAGGGAAGCUGGGAAAAGAAACAUUCACAGAAAAACUGGACAUGAUGAUACAGCGCCAUGUGCAAUUUUGAAAAGUAUGGAUAGUUUUAGCUUUCUCCAACACCCAGUCCACCAGAGGAGCUUAGAGAUUCUGCAGAGAUGCAAGGAAGAGAAGUACAGUAUAACCCGGAAAAAUCCCAGAACACCUCUUUCUGAUCUCCAGGGCAUGAAUGCUCUAAAUGAAAAAAACCAACAUGAUACAUUUGAUAUUGCCUGGAAUGGCAGAACUGGGAUUCGCCAGAGCAGACUAUCAAGUGGCACCUCCUUGCUUGAUAAAGAUGGAAUAUUUGCUAAUUCAACUAGCAGCAAACUCCUGGAGAGAGCCCAUGGAAUUCUCACGAGAAACAAAAAUUUCAAAUCCAAGCCUGCCCUUCCAAAGCACUUGCUAGAAGUAAAUUCUUUAAAGCACCUGACAAGACUGACACUACAAGAUCGCAUUACCAAGUCUCUUCUUCAUUUACACAAGAAGAAAAAACCUCCCAGCAUCAGUGCCCAGUUUCAGGCAUCAUUAAGCAAGCUAAUGGAAACACUUGGUCAAGCAGAACCAUAUUUUGUAAAAUGCAUUCGCUCUAAUGCUGAAAAGCUGCCCUUAAGGUUCAAUGAUGUCUUGGUACUUAGACAGCUUCGAUACACCGGGAUGCUGGAAACAGUUCGAAUUCGCCAAUCAGGAUACAGCUCCAAAUAUUCUUUCCAGGAUUUUGUGAGCCACUUCCAUGUACUUCUUCCCCGAAAUAUUAUUCCAUCCAAAUUUAACAUUCAGGAUUUCUUCAGGAAAAUAAAUCUUAAUCCAGAUAAUUAUCAAGUUGGAAAAACCAUGGUCUUUCUAAAGGAGCAGGAACGACAGCACUUACAAGAUCUGCUUCACCAAGAGGUGCUCCGCAGAAUCAUAUUGUUGCAGCGAUGGUUCAGGGUCUUGCUGUGUAGGCAGCAUUUCCUCCAUCUGAGACAAGCAUCUGUUAUUAUCCAGAGAUUCUGGAGGAAUUACCUAAAUCAGAAGCAAGUCAGAGAUGCAGCUGUGCAGAAGGAUGCUUUUGUUAUGGCUAGUGCGGCUGCUCUUCUCCAAGCUUCCUGGCGUGCUCACUUAGAGAGGCAGCGGUACUUGGAGUUACGGGCUGCAGCCAUCGUUAUCCAGCAGAAAUGGAGAGAUUACUAUAGGCGCAGGCACAUGGCUGCUAUUUGCAUACAAGCAAGAUGGAAAGCCUACAGGGAAAGUAAAAGGUACCAAGAACAAAGGAAAAAAAUUAUCCUUUUGCAAUCAACAUGUAGAGGAUUCAGAGCAAGACAAAGAUUUAAAGCUUUAAAAGAACAAAGGCUAAGAGAAACAAAACCAGAAGUUGGAUUGGUGAAUAUUAAGGGAUAUGGAUCUCUGGAAAUUCAGGGUUCAGACCCUUCAGAAUGGGAGGAUUGUUCUUUUGACAACAGAAUAAAAGCCAUAGAGGAAUGUAAAUCUGUAAUAGAGAGUAAUCGAAUUAGCCGUGAAAGUUCAGUGGACUGCUUGAAGGAGUCACCAAACAAGCAGCAGGAGAGAGCCCAAAGCCAGAGUGGUGUGGACUUGCAGGAAGAUGUGCUUGUAAGAGAGAGACCCAGAUCCUUGGAGGAUCUCCAUCAGAAAAAAGUAGGCCGGGCUAAGAGAGAAAGUAGGAGAAUGAGAGAACUAGAGCAAGCUAUAUUUAGCUUAGAAUUGCUGAAAGUUCGUUCUCUUGGUGGUAUUUCUCCUUCAGAGGAUCGCAGAUGGUCUACAGAAUUGGUGCCUGAAGGCCUUCAAUCUCCACGAGGUACACCUGAUAGUGAGAGCUCUCAAGGAAGCUUGGAACUUCUGAGCUAUGAGGAAAGCCAAAAGAGCAAACUAGAGUCUGUCAUUUCAGAUGAAGGAGACUUGCAGUUUCCAUCACCUAAGAUAUCCAGCAGUCCAAAAUUUGAUUCACGGGACAAUGCCCUCAGUGCCUCAAAUGAGACUAGCAAUGCAGAGCAUUUGAAGGAUGGAACUAUGAAGGAAAAGGUGGUCUGCAGUUCUGAGUCUAUUACCUGUAAACCACAGCUGAAAGACUCCUUCAUUUCAAAUAGUCUACCUACUUUUUUUUAUAUCCCCCAACAAGACCCACUGAAAACAAAUUCCCAACUAGACACAAGUAUCCAAAGAAACAAACUAUUGGAAAAUGAAGACACAGCGGGGGAAGCUCUUACUUUGGAUAUCAACAGGGAAACUAGAAGGUAUCACUGCUCAGGAAAAGAUCAGAUUGUUCCUUCUUUGAAUACAGGGUCUUCUAAUCCUGUGCUUAAGAAGUUAGAAAAGCUAAACACUGAGAAGGAAGAAAGGCAAAAACAGUUGCAGCAACAGAAUGAAAAAGAGAUGAUGGAACAGAUUCGCCAGCAAACAGAUAUUUUAGAGAAGGAGCGCAAAGCCUUCAAGACAAUUGAAAAGCCAAGAAUUGGAGAGUGUUUGGUGGCACCAUCUUCCUAUCAGUCAAAGCAAAGAGUAGAGAGGCCAUCUUCUCUCCUCAGCUUAAAUACCUCAAAUAAGGGAGAACUUAAUGUACUGGGGUCCCUAUCAUUAAAAGAUGCAGCUCUUGCCCAAAAUGACAGUUCAUCUGCUCACUUACCCCCAAAGGACCGACCUGUCACCGUGUUCUUUGAAAGAAAAGGAAGUCCAUGCCAAUCUAGUACUGUCAAGGAAUUAUCCAAGACAGACAGAAUGGGCACCCAGCUGAAUGUAGCCUGUAAACUCUCAAAUAAUCACAUUUCAAAAAGAGAACACUUUAGGCCAACUCAAUCUUACAGCCACAAUUCUGAUGACCUUUCCAGAGAGGGAAAUGCUAGGCCCAUUUUCUUCACUCCAAAGGACAAUAUGAGUAUUCCCCUUGUCAGCAAAGAAGCCGUAAACAGUGAAAAUCCUCAACUCCGUAAAGAAGAUGAACCAGCAUGGAAACCUGUGAAGUUAGCUGGGCCAGGCCAAAGAGAGGUUGCCAGACCGGCCCAUAAAAAGAAAGCUCGAAUGGCGCGGACGCGCUCCGAUUUCUUGACUAGAGGUACUUUUGCCGAUGGGGAGGGGGAUACAGAGGAAGAUGAUUACGAUGACAUUAUUGAGCCCCUUCUCUCCCUUGACCAAGCUUCUCACUGUGAGCUAGGGCCUGCACCCAGCCUGGGUCAGGCCUCUCACAGUGACUCCGAAAUGGUAAUUUUACAGCAAUAUAAGAAAAAUAGCAAGCAAAUCUGAUGGAAAUAGUCUUUGCUAAUCUAAAGCUAACCUUCACAGCUUCUUCCCAUGUAAUGGUUUGUGCAUGGGAAACCUCAGUGAACACAGCAACUAAGCUAAACCUUAAUUUAAUAGAACUCAAAGGGCACUUUAAAAAGCCACAAAUUAGGCAAAAUUAAGAUUAUUUGACUUGGCACUAAUGUAGAAAUUUUCCAUGUUGUAUCCUAAAAGGUCUAGAGCAGUGGUCCUUACAUUUUUUCUGUAAACGGCCAGAUAACAAAUAUUUUAGACUUUGUGGGUCAUAUAGUCUCUAUUGCAACUACCUAACUUAACUACUUAACUCACCCACUGUAGUGUGAAAGCAGCCAUAGACACUAAGUAAACAAAUGGGCAUGACCGUCUUGUAAUAAAACUGCAAAAACAGACAGUGGAUUGUAUUUGACCUGUUGGCCAUAGUUUACUGAUCCGUGGUUUAGUUUACUGAUCCUUGGUCUAAAAUAAUCCAGUAGCUUUUAGCUACAAUGCACUUUUACAUUUUUUGCCUGUAAACUUUCUUCCUCCACCUCACUUUCCACUAAUAAGAAAUAAACAUGAAUUUUAAAACAUAUAGUGAGCAAAAAGUGUCUUCCUGGACCAACCCAGCCAAAUAGAAGGCUAUAUGUAAUGUGAAUUUGUAUUAAUCACACAAUAUAACAUUGGUGUUGUGUUUGAAUAAAGCUGCACCAUUUUAAGCUAAGAAUAUAACUAUAUCAUCUUCUCAGCCCAAAUCAGGUGUAUAUGUGGUUUGACAAGUAUUAUAGUAUAUUGAUGGGUAUAUUAAUGCAAAGAAUUUUAUUUUGGAAUUGUCCUAGAAAUAUAUAAGAUAAGGACCGUAUGUCUAAUAUGAACCAGAACAUCACUGAUGAAGUAGAGUGAAAUAACAUUUUAUUUCCAUACAUAUCUGUAACUGAGCUCUCUAAUAUUCUUUAGUGUCUGUCAAUUAUCAGAGAAAAAUUUUAGAAUGGUCUUUAUUUGACUCAUUAAAUAUUCUAUCUUUGAACUGUUUUAAGCUGUUUGAAUUGUCAAAGAUCUAAUUAAUUGAAAUUUCUCCUAUUGUCCAGAAUACUCUCGUUGUCUUUUAUCUUUUGUUGGAGGUAGACCCAGUUUUUAAGUGACAAAAGUGAUGUUUUAUGAAGGCAAAAACAACAACAACAAAAAGAGAAAAAUGCAAAACAAGUCCCCUGAUUAGAUAAAUGAGUCAUUAACCUGAGCCGAACUGUAGGAUUAUAGAAAUUGGAAACAUUCUGUGUAUCUGAUAAUAUGUAUAAUUAGAGCCAAAAUCUUCAGUGUAGAAUAAAAUAAUAGCAUUUUGGAGGUGCCCUGUAUUUGAGUUAUAAAUAAGGAAAUAUACUGUGUUAUCUGAUUAACAGUUAAAUACGAAAUUAUGUAAUGGAACAAACUAAUUUUAAUGAAAAGUCCUGCUUUGUCUAGUAUACAUAGAUUUAUUGUUAGCAGAAAAACUUUGGCAUUAUGACUGCUGUUUUGUUCCUGAGAGUUUCCUUUGUAACAACCCUUAGUCCUUUUGGUGAUAGACUUCUUUUACACUGGGAACUUUUACUGAGAUGAACCAGGAAGUUGGGCUUUCUGCUUGGAGCAUUCAGCUCCUUUCAGUGUUCUAGCCUCUGUUCACCUGCUUGACGGUCACUGCAUGCCAGUAGUUGUAGAGCACUUCCCUGCACAGUGUGUUAGUCACGUCGCCAGCUUUCUCAUUUCCUUCUCUUUCACCACGAGCUAUUUUAGGAACAGGUGGUGGUGCUUGUUUCUGGUGGACACUGCAUGAAGAAGCUUUGCUUUGUAGAAUAUGUGGAUAGUUACUUACCAGGGUUGGGGAUGGGGUGGGUAGGAACAAUUUUUAAAUGUGUUUCUCUUUUUAUUUAUCUUGAGAAUAUUCCACGUUCUAACAUUAUCUGAUAUUGUGAAGAUGAAGAUGUAUUGUGUCUAAAUAAAAUCUACUACAAUCUCACAAUAUUUUCUGGAUUUUAAAUGUAUUUGAUUUUCUAGGUACAUGGAGUUUUAAAAGCUGGAUUUUUUUUUUCUGGACAAACUGAUUUUAUUACUCUGAAGUGUGUCAUUAAAUCUUGGAAGAAAUUGCUGUAUGACCUUUCUAAUUGUGAAGUAACUCAAUCUAAUGGGAUAAAGACAUUCACAAAUGAAUUGAAGGAGAUUUGAGUUUUUAAAUUAUUAAUCAGUUGUUACCUGCUGUGGGAGGGGAAACAAGUGUAGUAGUUUCCCUCCUUAGUGACUUUGGUGUUUUUUAACCUCUUACUUCAAACGCUGCCGUUUGAAUAACUGUUUAGUCUCUGUGUGCUGCUCUCACUCCAUUUUUAUACACACCACAUUGGCAUUUACUCAAGAAGAAUGGCGUUUUCUGCUAAGCAGUUGUUUUUAAGAUAGUUUUUUUUUAGUUUCUGUCUUCUGAAUGGUAAGCGGGUUAGUAAAAUCAUUUCUAUUCCUUAUUUAUAGGAUUAGUAUAGGAAACAUUAUACUUUUCUCUGUACAGUUUUCUUUUAUCAUCCCCCAGAUUUAAAGCAGUCAUCUCUAUGGAUAUGACUUCUGAAUGGCUCUCCAGAAUUUCAAUCUUCAUUACUUCUAGCAUAGUAAAACUAAAUUUCUCAUUAUUCCCCCCAAACUGCUGUCACUUCUUAUAUUCCUGUUUCUGCUAUUCUCUGAGAUACUCUCUGAUCCUUGUCUGUGUUGAAUUUUCUUUCUCUCUGAUGUCUACUCCAUAGACUGCCAGAAAAACCUGUUGAUCAAACAAAGCUGUUUAUUAGCUUAUUACAGUAAGAGAAAACCCACUUUGACUGUGUCUUAGUAAUAUCUCACAAGGGAGAAGUCAGGAGAGGAUAUUCAUAAAGUUUUAGGACCUGGGCUAGGUGAUUUUGAGGUUGGUCUUGCGUGGUAGAAAACUGGUUGUUAUUGAACAAAGUUCAUUACUUAAGAGUUUUGGAUUGGCAGCCUUAAGACAGCAGCCACACUGUUGACUAUACACUUAGUAUUUAUAUGUGUAUUUUAUUUCUCUAAAAAAAGUCAGGACCAGUUUAUAGCAUUGCAGCUAUCUGUUCUUUGAGGAUUUGGCAGAGUUUUUCUAUGAAACCACCUGGGAUUGGUACUUUUUUGUGGUGUAGUUCCUGGAUAAGUUUUUCUUUUUUUCUUCUAGGGAAAUCAGUCUUUUUAAAACCUUUUAUCUAACAGGGUCAAUUUUGGUAAACCCUUUUUUCUUAUAAAAUUAUCAAUUUCAUCUAACUUUUCAAUUUAUUUGCACAGAGGUCUGGAAAGUAAGAUCUGGGCACAGAGCCAUGUGCCUGUAGUCCCAGCUACUCAGAAGGCUGAGGCAGGAGGAUAACUGGGGCCCAGGAGUGCAAGGCUGCAGUGAGCUGUGAUUGUACCACUGCACUCCAGCCUGAGCAACAGAGCAAGACCAUGUCUCUU
This 7789-nucleotide small RNA is filed under the name Pan troglodytes (chimpanzee). RNAcentral's name for it is "processed transcript". Lineage: Eukaryota; Metazoa; Chordata; Mammalia; Primates; Hominidae. The record is from RNAcentral.